Molecule: long non-coding RNA, 1565 nt
Organism: Clupea harengus (Atlantic herring)
Lineage: Eukaryota; Metazoa; Chordata; Actinopteri; Clupeiformes; Clupeidae
Source: Ensembl
GUUGCGCGCAGAGCCAGGCGGUGUGUCCCUUUAAAACACAGAGCAGAACAGCGCAAUUCGAUCCCUGCCUACGGGAGCGAGAACAAGACCCGCAAUGUAUGAGAGAAAAAGGACUGACUGAACGUCAACAACAAUACUGCUAGCUAACUGUUGGAUUGUAUGCGGUGUGUUCCUUUAUUCGCUCAAUUGUAAGAAAGAGGACCAUCACAAAGAGGACGAUUUGGAAUAUAGUAGGCUAGGCUACACUGCUCAGUCAGUAGGAUAUUCGCCCGGACAAGCUGGGAUAUUGGCUGGCGAGGAAAAACUCUCGGAGCCUGGAAGUUGAGGAACGCAGGACAACGAAACCACCGUCAACAGAUUUUUGAGGAAGGGGCCAACCAGGACACAGAAGUUCCUUCAAAACGUGUUUUCACUUAGGACUAAAAGAACCCGAGGGAUAAACCCGCCCCCUCCACCCCAUCCACCGCAAGAUGAUUGGCUCCCAGGGCCGAAGCUGAGCGCCAGUUGACGAGAGAAUUGUUGCUAGAUGCUGAUUUGAAAGGCAUCGUCGAGAGUAGGCAGACAGUCGAGCGCCUCGUCUCAGGGUUGGUGUGUGUGGCCCCUCGCUCCGCUGCGGUGGAGGGCUUCACAGACACUGUGGCUGGAUGCAUCACACAGCAGAGCACUUUGUCGGGCGAAGCACACGGGAUGCCUUCCCUCUGGAUGGCCUCAACCGGGAACCAUGGCAACCCGUGAGCAACCGCUCCUGGGCCCCACCGUCCAGGUGUGCUCCCGGCGUCAAUCAACACCAGUUCCACCCCCACGCCCCCCCCAGUCAUGUGACCACGCUGAACCAUCCCAGUAAAUUUUACCCCAAUGGGUAAGUGCAACACUUUUGUGUAGCUUUGUCUUUCACUCACACACACACACACACACACACACACACACACACACACACACACACACACACACUCUCUCACACACACACACUGUGUGUUAUAUGUGCUAACUGUUAAUUAUGUUCUAAAGUAAUUACAGUGCCGUCAGUGCCCUCCCUCGCGGAGGCGACAAGCUGGACUUGUCCCCGGUGGCGCUGUUGCCCGGGUUACAGCGUGACGUCCCCCCCGCCAGGGUCCCGCCGGCCCCCCCUCGCCCGUGGGAACAGCUGGGGCUCUACGAGCCAACGUCCGGCGACCACACCCGUCUCCAUGGUUACGGCGGGCCUGCCCCCGGACACCUUGCAGCUUGCGCUAACCAACUGCUGAAGUUUGGCAAUCCACACCAGCAACACGGCUCCAGAACGAUGGGACCUCUCGGAGACACAUGGGGUCAGGCGCAGCAGCAGCCCCGAGCCUUUGCUGGAGGUCAGCUGAAGCGGGCGGCCCCUCCUCUGGGGGAGCACUCUGUGAUCCAGCACGCGCCCCCCCCUCCACCACCCCUCCAGCGCCCUCUACUGGAAGACUGCCCCAACCCCAGCAAGAGGAAGAGGAGCUCACUCUCAGAGCAGCAGGGCUCUCACCCCGCUCUGCAGCGCUUCUCUGGGCCUGGGGGGCACGCGGCGCAGCCCCCACCCCCCUCGCAGUACA